UACGUAGGGUGCGAGCGUUAAUCGGAAUUACUGGGCGUAAAGCGUGCGCAGGCGGUUUUGUAAGCCAGAUGUGAAAAGCCCCGGGCUUAACCUGGGAAUGGCAUUUGGGACUGCAAGGCUGGAGUUUGGCAGAGGAGACUGGAAUUCCUGGUGUAGCAGUGAAAUGCGUAGAUAUCAGGAGGAAUACCGAUGGCGAAGGCAGGUCUCUGGGCUAUAACUGACGCUCAUGCACG
This 233-nucleotide ribosomal RNA is filed under the name uncultured bacterium. Its description in RNAcentral is "partial 16S ribosomal RNA". It matches the Rfam family "Bacterial small subunit ribosomal RNA", at positions 524 to 755 of the family's 1533-position model. The record is from RNAcentral.